GCAUACGUAGAUUUACUUUUGUUGGUAAGCUAACAUUUGAGAGGAGUACAUGGUGUUGCCAUUUCUGGAAAGUAAUGAAGAGGUGAAAAUGCUGGUCAAAGCGAUCCACCAGUAGAAAAUUACUCCAAAAUAUUAACUUUCAUGUGGCCAUGGGAGGAUCACAGUGAAGUACUGGUUUUCUCUGUUUUGGAUAAAGUCGCCGCCUUUUGACUUAUUUUCAGAAGCCGGGGUCAACCAGCUUCUUCUCCCACGCCCAUCAGUGGUAAGAUAUCUAGAGGCCGCCUUCGGAACACGCAUGGAUACGCCGGCUUUCCCCCCCUCCUGUGUAAGCUCCAACACCCGCUCUCAGCCGCCGCCGCUCGGCGUCACCACCACCGUGCGGCUUCCUUCGCUCCGCCGUAAGCCGGGAGCUUCCUCCCCCAGGGCUGCAGAACGCCAGCGUGGUUAUCCCGCCAGCGACCCCGUCCGCCGUCUUCUUCACAGAAAUUAACAAAAAAAAGAGAAGUCCAGAGGCGUGCGCCCUCACAUUUUUGGAAGAGCAGAACGAAUUCAAGAGGACGAAAGAAAAGAUGUCAGAGAUUAGAGAUCACGGGUGGCAAGGCCCUUUCUCCUCCGCCUUCCAACUCCAUUAAAUCGACGGCGAAGCCUCUCCCAACUCCAUUGCAGACCGGAAGCUCAGCUCGGAUAGAGAACGCAGGCAGGGUUCGGUGGGGAAAGCCCGAUAAUCCGGUUGGAGGAGGAUAAGGGGAGGCGCACAGUGGGCAAGGGGCUGGCCGAGUACGGGCAAACCGUGAAGAAGCAAUCGGAACGAACGACACGACACACGCAAACGACACGUGUGGGAGGGUGACCCUGUCAGGUGUGGAGAGAACAGGAGCAUUUAGUAGGCGGGCCAGUCGCGGUGGCAGGCUGGAAGCGUCC
RNAcentral lists this long non-coding RNA (921 nucleotides) under Spirodela polyrhiza (greater duckweed). RNAcentral describes it as "long non-coding RNA (SPOL_LNC001676)". The record is from RNAcentral. Lineage: Eukaryota; Viridiplantae; Streptophyta; Magnoliopsida; Alismatales; Araceae.